CGCCGUGCGGCAGCUACACAUGCAGUCGAGCGGUAGCACAGAGAGCUUGCUCUCGGGUGACGAGCGGCGGACGGGUGAGUAAUGUCUGGGAAACUGCCUGAUGGAGGGGGAUAACUACUGGAAACGGUAGCUAAUACCGCAUAAUGUCGCAAGACCAAAGUGGGGGACCUUCGGGCCUCAUGCCAUCAGAUGUGCCCAGAUGGGAUUAGCUAGUAGGUGGGGUAACGGCUCACCUAGGCGACGAUCCCUAGCUGGUCUGAGAGGAUGACCAGCCACACUGGAACUGAGACACGGUCCAGACUCCUACGGGAGGCAGCAGUGGGGAAUAUUGCACAAUGGGCGCAAGCCUGAUGCAGCCAUGCCGCGUGUGUGAAGAAGGCCUUCGGGUUGUAAAGCACUUUCAGCGGGGAGGAAGGCGGUGAGGUUAAUAACCUCAUCGAUUGACGUUACCCGCAGAAGAAGCACCGGCUAACUCCGUGCCAGCAGCCGCGGUAAUACGGAGGGUGCAAGCGUUAAUCGGAAUUACUGGGCGUAAAGCGCACGCAGGCGGUCUGUCAAGUCGGAUGUGAAAUCCCCGGGCUCAACCUGGGAACUGCAUUCGAAACUGGCAGGCUAGAGUCUUGUAGAGGGGGGUAGAAUUCCAGGUGUAGCGGUGAAAUGCGUAGAGAUCUGGAGGAAUACCGGUGGCGAAGGCGGCCCCCUGGACAAAGACUGACGCUCAGGUGCGAAAGCGUGGGGAGCAAACAGGAUUAGAUACCCUGGUAGUCCACGCCGUAAACGAUGUCGAUUUGGAGGUUGUGCCCUUGAGGCGUGGCUUCCGGAGCUAACGCGUUAAAUCGACCGCCUGGGGAGUACGGCCGCAAGGUUAAAACUCAAAUGAAUUGACGGGGGCCCGCACAAGCGGUGGAGCAUGUGGUUUAAUUCGAUGCAACGCGAAGAACCUUACCUGGUCUUGACAUCCACAGAACUUUCCAGAGAUGGAUUGGUGCCUUCGGGAACUGUGAGACAGGUGCUGCAUGGCUGUCGUCAGCUCGUGUUGUGAAAUGUUGGGUUAAGUCCCGCAACGAGCGCAACCCUUAUCCUUUGUUGCCAGCGGUUAGGCCGGGAACUCAAAGGAGACUGCCAGUGAUAAACUGGAGGAAGGUGGGGAUGACGUCAAGUCAUCAUGGCCCUUACGACCAGGGCUACACACGUGCUACAAUGGCAUAUACAAAGAGAAGCGACCUCGCGAGAGCAAGCGGACCUCAUAAAGUAUGUCGUAGUCCGGAUUGGAGUCUGCAACUCGACUCCAUGAAGUCGGAAUCGCUAGUAAUCGUAGAUCAGAAUGCUACGGUGAAUACGUUCCCGGGCCUUGUACACACCGCCCGUCACACCAUGGGAGUGGGUUGCAAAAGAAGUAGGUAGCUUAACCUUCGGGAGGGCGCUACCACUUGAUCGGGG
RNAcentral lists this ribosomal RNA (1440 nucleotides) under bacterium. Its description in RNAcentral is "bacterial SSU rRNA". It matches the Rfam family "Bacterial small subunit ribosomal RNA". The record is from RNAcentral.